AAAAGUUUUGGUCCUAAACUUACUAUUAUUUUUGACCAAAAUUAUACAUGCAAGUAUCUGCACACCAGUGAAAAUGCCCACUUAAAUAUUGGAGCAGGUAUCAGGCACGAAACUUCAGCCCAAGACACCUUGUUUUACCACACCCCCACGGGUAAUCAGCAGUAAUAAAAAUUAAGCUAUGAGCGACUAGUAUUUUACUUAAGCUAGACUUAGUUAUGGUCAUUUAGGGCUGGUCAACCUCGUGCCAGCCACCGCGGUUAUACGAAGAGCCCAAAAUAAUAGACUACGGCGUAAAUAGUGACUAAAAUAUUAACUAAAAAUAAGAAACAAACAUAAAUCCUAACCGUAAAACAAAGGAUUGAUGAAGACCAACUUCUUUAAAUAAGGUUAUUUGAUUCACGAAAGCUGGGAAACAAACUAGGAUUAGAUACCCUACUAUGCCUAGCUGUAAAUUACACCCUAUAACUUAUAGUGUUCGCCAGAAUAUUACGGAUGAAAAGCCUAAAACUCAAAAGACUUGGCGGUGCUUCAUACACGAUUUAGAGGAGCCUGUCCUAUAAUCGAUACCCCACGAUAAACCCAACCGCCCCUUGCCAAACCAGCCUAUAUACCGCCGUCCUCAACUUACACUGUGAAGUUAAAAUAGUAAGUACAAAAGUUUAACACAAAAAAGUCAGGUCAAAGUGUAGCCUAUGCGGCGGAAGAGAUGGGCUACAUUUUUUAAAACAAAACACACGAAAGACACUUUGAAACAGCUGUCUAAAGGAGGAUUUAAUAGUAAAAUAAACAAGAAAGUUUAUUUUAAACACGCCCUGAAGCACGCACACACCGCCCGUCACCCUCCUCAACAACUUAAAACAAUUUAUAAUUAAAGAAACUAAAAAGAUGAGGUAAGUCGUAACAUGGUAAGCGUACUGGAAAGUGUGCUUGGAUAAA
RNAcentral lists this non-coding RNA (936 nucleotides) under Anolis ortonii. RNAcentral's name for it is "12S small subunit ribosomal RNA". It matches the Rfam family "Bacterial small subunit ribosomal RNA". The record is from RNAcentral. Lineage: Eukaryota; Metazoa; Chordata; Lepidosauria; Squamata; Anolidae.